Molecule: non-coding RNA, 70 nt
Organism: Paramuricea clavata
Lineage: Eukaryota; Metazoa; Cnidaria; Anthozoa; Malacalcyonacea; Plexauridae
Source: the annotation of a GenBank genome assembly
CUUGUCUGUGAUGAAAGUGUUGUCGCCCCAGUCUGAUAUUUCAUGACUGAUUGACUUUUUCUGAGACAAU